Long non-coding RNA from Larimichthys crocea (large yellow croaker), 493 nucleotides. RefSeq lists it as uncharacterized. Lineage: Eukaryota; Metazoa; Chordata; Actinopteri; Sciaenidae. The transcript is spliced from 3 exons. The record is from RefSeq and is a predicted model, not a curated record.
CAACACCCCUCCAGGUGCAGUAAAGACCGGAAGGAUAUUAUCCCCGAGACACUUCAGUUAUUUUAAUGAGACACGGUGGUGCAACAUGACAGACUGCAGGAGAGGACCCUUGUGUCUGUAGAUAUAGAGUGCUCAUUAUAAGUGAGAGGCUUGACUGGCAGAACCUAAUCCACAUGGAGCUUCGUGGCACACCAUCCGGGCCGUGAUGAUCGCACCCCCGUUCAACCAGUAGGAGUAGUGAGUGCAGUAAAGGAUGCGAUCUCACUGACUUCCCACCUGCAUUCACUGCCAACUGUGUUUGAUAAGGUGUCUGGCCAAGCCAGAAGGAUUUCUGCUGGAGACUGAACCAGGCUAUCUGCUGUAAUAGAUGAAGAAGAAGGUUGUUUCUGUUUGUUGAUUCGUACUUUGACUGGGAUGAGCUGGCAAUGUCAGUCAGCUGUCCACCACUCCACCUCCAGUCAAGACUGGAACACCUGAAAACAACACUGCUGAA